UGUUUUUUUUUCCAACUAGCCUGUUCCCAGGUAAUUUUUUGGGCGGGGGGAUUUUAAAGAGUGGAGCUCCUCAUAACUUUAAUUAUUAAAAAUAAUAACUUAGUACUGGUAUUGCAUAUUCUUCCUUUAAGGGCUCAUGACACUGCUGGAAUCUCCACUUAUUUUUAAGUCUGUGAAAACUUUUUGUUUUUGCCUCGAACGAAUUGUAAUGCUGCGGAUUGCAAUUUUGUAAUCCUGAUCUCUUACAAUUUUUACAAUUUUUUAUUGUCUCUUUGUACUGUAUGAUUGUAUUGAAUACUUUGUUUUAUACAUGCAGAUUUUAUAUUAUGCAUUAUUGCACUGUUAAUAGUUCAUUAUAUGCCCAGUUGGAAUAAAACCCGUUUAAAAUAGAUCGGAAAAAAAACUACAGCACCCAGAAUUCAAAGGGCCGGCAUCGGACUUCCGCGCUGACAUCACCUAACCAGGGCACCUUUCAAGAUGGCGGCGGCAGCAGAGGCGCAGGAUAAUGAACUGGACGAGUUGUUAGACAGUGCCCUGGACGACUUUGAGAAGACCAAGCCCUGCGCCGCGGCCCCCAGCUCUGAGGGAGAGCCGACUGCAGCGCCCCCUGCUGCUGCCAGUGACAAGGAGACAGUGAGUCGGUCUUCACUGGCUUUGCUUAAGUGACCUUGAUCUAGUCCUGUAAAAGUUACUCCUGUGCCCCCGUUUUGUUUUGCGUCAAGCGGCAACCAUUUUUCCAGUGGAUGAGAGGAUCCCAAAUUAAACUGAUAGACUAACUAGUAUAUAAAUUUGCCGUGAUCCAUGUUGAGAUUUGAAGUGACGCACUCCUGCUCAUGCAGUCCGUCUCAGGCCUACAUUUCCGUGAUGCCGAGAUGCAAGAAGUCGGAUCGCAGCUCAGUGAGGCCAGGUUAGCUCAGGCCACUUCCAGAGAAUAUCAAAGACGACGCACAUAAGGUGUCUCGCCCGUGGUGCUCUGAAUCCAAGCAGUUUUGCAGGAAUUUUCUGUCACCUCCCUAAUUAUGAAUGGGUGUUUAGUGACCAAGGCAGACGGAUUAGAACUAGACAAAAUACUUCCACACUUGGCACAGUGGCUAUUUGUGAUAAGGUGAUCACCGCCUAUGGGUUAUUUCUGAGUCCAGUAUUUUUCAGACCAUUGGCAGGAGUGAACCCAGGUCAGGUCCGAUUCUAUUGUACGAUCCUUCAAGCACAGAUAGUGCUGAUCUUACACUGUAGAGCCCUCUUACUUAUAGAUAGAUAAGAUAGAUACAUAAGACUUUAUUGAUCCCGAAGGGACAUUGAUGUGUUACAGCAGCCCAGCCCAAGACAAGCACAGUCAUAGUCAUAGAUCAUAGUCACUGUAAAAACAAUAAAAUAUGUGCAAAAUGUGCAUAGGUAUAUAUAGAUUGAGUGUCCAAAAAAGUACAAUGGAGCAACAUGCUGUCCAUAGAGGAGCAAAUGAA
This 1460-nucleotide long non-coding RNA is filed under the name Lepisosteus oculatus (spotted gar). Its description in RNAcentral is "lncRNA (ENSLOCG00000023296.1)". Lineage: Eukaryota; Metazoa; Chordata; Actinopteri; Semionotiformes; Lepisosteidae. The record is from RNAcentral.